GUGCACUACCUUUACACAUCACGGCCAUGGUCAUCUGAAGUAGUAUGAUCAGUGACCUUUAUCCAGCAGUACUCCACGACACUUACUGUCAUUCUUCAGCUCUCAUUUUAACUCACUCCUAAAUUAGGGUUUAGCCCUCAAUUGAAUAUUUUGAUGUUCAAGUUCAUUCAAUUUCAUGCUAUAAAUUGAAGAUUCUGGGUCGAAUUUCUAUUUCUAAGCCAGGUAAUACGCUAAAUUGAAGAUAUAUCGAUUGGAUUUUAAGUUUUCUACACGGUUCUUCUCGUCCUCGUCCUCCUCAACCCUAAAAGGAUAGGAAUUUAGUGUGUUCGCCACUUGGUCUAUGGCAGGCAAUGGCCUGCCAACGUUGGGCCGUGUAAAGCUAGCUGAUAUUGUAGCCAAGGAAGGCCUUCCUUCUGAUUCAUACAAGGUAUCUGUAUCAACAUUAUGUCAAUCCCUAGCGCAGUACUCUGCUGCUAUUGUUCAAUUUCCUGCUGCGGAUGGUGCUCUUGUGCGAUCUUGUCUUGAAUCUGCCCGUCUCUACUUUCACCACCGGCCUUCAUACCCUUCUGAAGAUAUGAUUCAUACGAAUGAGUCACGAGAGUGGUGCAAAACAUCUGGUUAUUAUGCAGAUCCCCAACUCUGGCAGGAGAAUUAUGAUUUUCGACCCGGGUUGACACCUGCAGAACCCGGGAACGGUAAUGAUUUUUCUCCUGCUGGUUUGGCUGAUAUUUUUGCGUUGCUGGGAAAAGCAGCAAGAGACAUAUUAGAUGCCAUAAGCUUUAAUUUGAGCUUGCGCAGCUCACCUUUCACUGAGAUUCUUGAUAAUGUACCCUUAAGAAGCAGGGAAAUUUCCUCUUCUGUGUUGUCUGUUUGCUGUCAAGCUAGGCCUACAUUCCAUGGAGCACAGCAUCAUAACUUAACAAGCCAAGAAGAUGGUAGUUUGAUGAUGUUUCAUGAGCAUGAACAUCCAGCUGAUAAGAGUUUGAUAUCUAUUGUUAAGUCUGAUAAAGCAGGUUUGCAUAUAAGAGAUUUCCAAGGUCAUUGGGUUCUUGUUGACGGAGAUCUUGGCCCUCAAGAAGCAGUAAUUUAUCCUGGACUAGCAUUGUAUCAGGCAACUGCUGGUUACAUAAACCCUGCACUUCAUAGGAUCGAAAUCAACAAUCCUCAAAGUAACAUUCAUGGGAGAUGUUCUGUAACAUUUAAACUCAUGCCUAAAUCAAUGACUAAUCUAAGUUGUUCUGAGAUGAGAGCUGCUGGUCAUGGAGUUGAAGCACAGUUCCAGCUUCCAGUAUCAGUUGAUGAUUUUAUGCAAAGACCACAUCCUACUGACAAUCAUUUGAAUCGACAGAGUGUUCCAAGUUUCAAUUUUUCUGCUACAAAUGACGGAGCAAUGAAACCAUUGAUUAAGAGAAGGAAGAGCAACUCUAAGUGCAAACCCCUUCCACCUUCCAAGAGGUUACGGCUUGAGGCACAACGAGUUCUCAAAGAGAGAGUUCAGGACAUUGCGGAUAAAAAGGGCAUCAAGCUGAGAUUUUGCAGCCUGAAGGAGUGUGAGAAUCACAUUCAUUCACUUGACAGUCCGUGUGCUAAUAUAAGAAUGGAGAUUGGAUGGCCACCAGGAGUCCCAUUUGUUCAUCCCCAUGAUCUGCCUAACAAGGCAAAAAUUGGUUUUCUGGAGGCUUAUGAACCUGGUUGGACAAUAACACAUGACAUGGAGUUGAGUCUCAUAGACCCUGGACAAUCAACUCAACAUUCUGGCCUCUGAAAUUUAUCAUGAUAGUUUGAUGUUGUUAUAGUAAUCAUUUUUCUUGGAAUGACAUCUCUAUCUGGUCUAAUAUGUUUUAGCAGUUGGUUAUCUCUUGCAUUCCUUUAUGUUGCAGCGAAUUUUAGAGGCUCUGAUUAAUGGCGGAUUCUGAUAUCUGGGCAUGUAACCAACUUCAUUUCAGCAGAUAGCCAGAUAUGGCAUUUUAAAUGGUGGUAUUUGCUCCUGAUUGCGCCUAAAAGCUGGAUAUCAGUAAUGAAGUUAUUUACUUAUGUUGGCAAUUUAAGCUAAUGCUGCCUUUCUUUUGUUCAUGGAACAAUAAUUAUACUGGCUA
RNA transcript from Amaranthus tricolor (Joseph's coat), 2096 nucleotides. RefSeq lists it as uncharacterized. The record is from RefSeq and is a predicted model, not a curated record. Lineage: Eukaryota; Viridiplantae; Streptophyta; Magnoliopsida; Caryophyllales; Amaranthaceae. The transcript is spliced from 4 exons.